ACUACGGGUGGCAGCAGUGGGGGAUAUUGCACAAUGGGGGGAACCCUGAUGCAGCGACGCCGCGUGGGUGAAGGAGCGUUUCGGCGCGUAAAGCCCUAUCGGCAGGGAAGAAGAAGGACGGUACCUGACUAAGAAGCCCCGGCUAACUACGUGCCAGCCGCCGCGGUAAUACGGAGGGGGCAAGCGUUAUUCCGAUUUACCGGGUGUUAAGGGGGCGUAGACGGCAGCGCAAGCCAGGAGUGAAAGCCCGGGGCCCAACCCCCGGACUGCUCUUGGAACUGCGUGGUUGGAGUGCAGGAGGGGCAGGCGGAAUUCCUGGUGUAGCGGUGAAAUGCGUAGAGAUCAGGAGGAACACCAGUGGCGAAGGCGGUCUGCUGGACUGCGACUGACGUUGAGGCCCGAAAGCGUGGGGAGCAAACAGGAUUAGAUACCCGUGUAGUC
Molecule: ribosomal RNA, 441 nt
Filed under: uncultured bacterium
Lineage: Bacteria
Description: partial 16S ribosomal RNA
Rfam family: Bacterial small subunit ribosomal RNA
Source: RNAcentral